This 221-nucleotide ribosomal RNA is filed under the name uncultured bacterium. RNAcentral's name for it is "partial 16S ribosomal RNA". It matches the Rfam family "Bacterial small subunit ribosomal RNA", at positions 15 to 217 of the family's 1533-position model. The record is from RNAcentral.
GAUCCUGGCUCAGGAUGAACGCUGGCGGCGUGCUUAACACAUGCAAGUCGAACGGAGUGCCCAUGACAGAGGAUUCGUCCAAUGGAUUGGGUUACUUAGUGGCGGACGGGUGAGUAACGCGUGAGGAACCUGCCUCGGAGUGGGGAAUAACACAACGAAAGCUGUGCUAAUACCGCAUGAUACAGUUGGGUCGCAUGACUCUGACUGUCAAAGAUUUAUCG